This is a non-coding RNA of Lindgomyces ingoldianus, 133 nucleotides long. NCBI's taxonomy places the organism in Eukaryota, Fungi, Ascomycota, Dothideomycetes, Pleosporales, Lindgomycetaceae. The record is from the annotation of a RefSeq genome assembly.
GUCGGUCUAGUAUAAUGGUAGAACGCCUGCCUGUUAUCUUCCCGAUGCAAUGUCCCACAUCUUCUCGGGGAUGGGCAUAGGCACGAUUAGAAAGCUAGCAGUGAGAUCCCAGUUCGAGUCUGUGGGGCCGACC